AGCCCCAUGACCUGCUGCCAUUAUAUAUAUAUAUAUAUAUUACAAAAGCUUACUACCUUACUUCUAGUCAACAACUUCCUACCAACUACAAGCUUACCUAUUGACAGAAUAAACUAUGCUGUGAUAGUCAUUUUAAUCACCAAAAAUAAACAUUACAACUGAUUAUAAUACAUAUAAUUGCUACAAAAUAUGACAGUGAAAAUGACAAUAGACGUCAAUACUCCGCCUUGACAUUUCUGCUGGAAACACCAAGGCUUUUUCCUUAAUAUUUCAAACCUUCCUUUGGACAAAGACUUGGUAAGUAUGUCAGCAUAUUGGCUCUUUAGCUUUGCAGUGCACCAGCUUCACUUCGUGAUUUUCUUGUGCUUCCUUGAUUGUAUGAUACCUGAUCUUAAUGUGUUUUGUUCUUCCAUGGAGCACCGGACUUUUUACCAUGGCUACAGCUGAUUGAUUGUCACAAAAAAUUACAAUUGCAUCAGUUUGUUUAGCAUCCGAAUCCUCCAGCAUUUUCCUCAACCAAAUAGCUUGAUUAGUUGCCUCUAAUGCAGCUAUAUACUCUGCUUCUGCUAUUGAUUGAGCUACCAUUUUUUGCUUCAUUGUGUUCCAGCAAACUAGACUUGAUCCCAGAUAAAAAGCAUAUCCAGAGGUGCUCUUCAUAUCAUCUAAAGAUCCAGCCCAAUCACUGUCAGUAUAACCAACUAAAUCCAUGAUUUCUGACUUUCUAAACCAGAUUCCCAUUUCAACAUUCCCUCUGAUGUAUCUCAAGACCCUCUUUGCAGCUUGGAAAUGUACCUCACUUGGUUCUUGCCUAAAUCUGGAAAGCAAAUUUAUAGCAAAAGUGAUGUCUGGUCUUGUGAUCGUCAAAGACAUAAGGCGUCCAACCGAACUUCUGUAUAACUUUUUCAACAGUCUUCUUGCUUCCAUCAUCCUUCACCAGCUUUAUUUUUUGAACCAGAGGAGUACUUACUGGUUUUCAAUUUUCCAUGCUGAAUAUCUUCAAAAUUUCCUUGGCAUACCUCCUUUGAUAGAUAAAAAUGCCAUCUUGUGACUGGUUUAUUUCCAUUCCCAGAAAAUAUUUCAUCUCCCCUAAAUCUAUCAUUUCAAAUGCCUUCAUCAUUUUAGCCUUUGCUUUGUCAAUUAAGACCUUGCUACUGCCGGUUAUUAGAAGGUCAUCUACAUACGGGGAAAUGAUGAUUGACUCCUUCUACUUCUUUAUGUACAAGGUUUGCUCAUUAACAUUUCAUACGAACCCCAGGCAGCUCAAAUGUUCAUCAAUCCGGCUGUACCAAGCUCUUGGAGCUUGCUUCAAACCAUACAAGGCUUUCUUUAAUAGAUACACCUUGUCUUCUUCUCCAACCACCUGAAAACCAUCUUGUUGAUCAACAUAAAUUUUCUCAUUUAACCAUCCAUUUAAGAAAGCUGACUUAACAUCCAAUUGAUGGAUUUUCCAGCUUCUUUGACCAGCAAUGGCCAGCAACAAUCUGAUGGUUUCAUACCUUGCCACCAGAGCAAAUGUGUCCGUGUAAUCAACACCAUAUUGUUGAGCAUAACCCUUUACAACUAAUCUAGCUUUCAGCUUGUUAAUCGAACCAUCAGGAUUUAAUUUAGUUUUGAACACUCAUUUAACUCCUAUCACAUUCUUAUCCUUUGAUCUAUCAACAAGCACCCAAGUCUCAUUCUUUUCAAUCAUAUUCAACUCCUCCUUCAUUGCGUUCAUCCAUCCUUUUGAAUUUAUAGCUUCGUGGAAGUUUGAAGGCUCCAACACGGCUGAAUUACAUCUGGCAUAUAUAUCAGCAAGAGGCCUGGUUUUUAGCACUUCAUUUUCUGAGUCAGAAUUACUGUCAUGUUCAGGUUCAUCCUCAUUGACGGUGUCUUCAUUUUCUUGAGUUACCAACCUUGGAAUUUGAAUUUUAUCCAUGGUACUUGCUUCCCAAUUCCAUGAAGAUUCUUCAUCCACUUUAAUAUCCUUGCUGGAUAUGUUUUUCUUGGUUUGUGGAUUGUAUACUCUAAACCCCUUAGCAUUGCCACAAUAUCCAACCAAAAUACCAAUCUCUACCUUUUGACUCAGCUUAUCCCUCUUUACAUCUGGAAUAUGAGUGAAACAAAUGCUACCAAAUACUUUCAAAUGAGCAACAUCAGGUUUUACUCCAUACCAUGCUUCAAAGGGUGUCUUUUUAUCCAAAGCUUUUGUAGGUAAUCUAUUGAGUAGAUACAUAGCUGUGUUUACAACUUCAGCCCAAAAUUCCUUUGGCACAUUCUUCUCAAGCAUCAAACACCUAGCCAUCUCCAUUACUGUCCUAUUUUUCCUUUUACAAAUGCCAUUUUGCUAAGGAGAAUAAGGUACGGUCAACUGGUGUUUGAUUCCAACAUCAUCACAAAAUUUGUCAAACUGGUUACAGCAAUAUUCAGUACCAUUGUUUGAUCUGAUAGCCUUGAUUUUACAGUCACUUUCAUUUUCCACAAGGUUCUUAAAUUUCUGGAACACAUCUGCAACCUCUGAUUUUAUUUUCAAGAAAUACACCCAACACAUUCUUGUCAAAUCAUCUAUAAAAAGCACAAAAUAUUUGCUGCCAUUGAGUGUUGGAGUUCUUAUUGGACCACACACAUCAGAGUGGAUUAAUUUUUAUGGAUCUUCUUGACUGAUUUUUUUGGAAAUAGUAGUCUGGUUUGUUUUUAAAGUUGACAUAUAUUACAAACACAGCCAUUAUCACAUAUAUCUGGCAUGUUUUCAACUAGUUCCAACUUGUUUAAUUGCUUGAAUGAAGUGAAAUUAGCAUGUCCAAACCGUUUAUGCCAAAGUGAAGAAUCAAUCACUAAAUUGGUCAGUGCCUGAUUGGUUACAUUUUUCCAUUGAAAAGGAAAACUUUUGUGCUUCAUAUCAACAGUCAUCAAUUCUUGAUUAUGUGUGUCCAAUAUAGUGCAACUUUUGUCUUUGAAUAUCAAAGUGUAACAUUUCUCAAUCAAUUGGCCCACACUACUCAAGUUUUGAUCAAUAUCAGGAACAUAAAAAACAUUAGUUAUGUAUUUGGUACCUAAUGGAGUUUGAACAGCAAUCAUGCUAACUCCUUUCACUACCACAUGCUCUCCAUUACCAACUUUAACACUUGAUCUGUAUGCGUCAUUUAGUUCAACAAAGAUACUGGAAUUUGGAGUCAUGUGAUGAGUGCAUCCACUGUCCAGCAACCAAGUUUCAACACUACUGUAGGCUUUAAAAUUGAUAGCUGAAAAUAGAUGCUCUUUCUGAUGUUGUUGUUGAUUUUCAGCCAUCUAUGCUUGAGGCUUUGUUUGCUUCUCCUUCAAAUUUUUACACACUUUUUGAACAUGUCCAAAUUGCUUACAACUUCGGCAUUGAACAUCAGGUCGAUACCAACACCAUUUUGGAGAGUGUCCUGAUUUUUUGCAAUGAACACAUAGAGGAUAAACUCCACUUUUACCAGCAAUCUUAUUGUUUUCCACCUUCUUCUUUUCAUCUUGGUGCUUUCUUACACCAAAACUUGUUUGAGCUUUACGUUUUCCUUCAACAAACAAGGCCCCUUCUACCUGUUCUUCCUAUCUCAUUAGCCUCCUUUACUCAGUAGCUUGCAAGGCAUUAACCAACUCAAACAAGGUUAUAGAAGACACGUCUGUAGAGUCUUCAAGAGAAGAGAUUUUUGCCUCAAGUUUUUUUAGGAAAAUGAUCAGCACCUUCUCCACAACUCUCCUGUCAGGUAAGUCAUCUCCCAAUAGCCUUAUUUGAUUCAUCACUUUCAUCAGCCUAUCAGAAUAUUCUUUGAUAGAUUCUAAGUCUUUCAUCUUCAAGGUUUCAUACUCCCUUCUUAAAUUUAAAAUUUGCAUUUGCCUUGUUCUUGCAUUGCCUCUAAACUCUUCUUGCAAUUUGUCGCAGGCAUCCUUUGCUGUCUCACAAGUCAUAAUCCUGGUGAAUAUUGCAUCAGAAAGGACAUAUUGGAUGCAAGACAAAGCCUUGAACUUUUUUGCAACCUCCUCACUAUGUUGCUUCAAUUGAGCAAUAGUAGGGUUUGUUUUAAGAGGUGGUGGAUCACUUCCUGUCUCUGUUAUUUCCCACAGGUCAUAUGCUUUCAGGUAAGCCUUCAUUUUUGCUGCCCAAAAGUCAUAAUUUUCACCAGUAAACACAGAAGGUAAUGGAGCUGAAAAACCACUUGAAGCCAUCCCUCUCAGGUCUAAUUUUUUUUUUUAGCUGAUAUGGUGAAGGUUUUGGUAGAAGUUCCUCACUUGUUUUCUCUCUUUUUCUAUCUCAGAACCUCUCCUUUUCCUCUAAGAUCUUUUAGCUCUGAUACCACUGAUGGUUUUGUGGAACAAAGAGGAAGAGAAGGACAGAUUUUUCUAGGGAAAAUAUCAGUACAUUAAGCCCCAUGACCUGCUACUAGUCAACAACUUCCUACCAACUACGACCUUACCUAUUGACAGAAUAAACUAUGUUGUGAUAGUCAUUUUAAUUACCAAAAAUAAACAUUACAAGUCAUUAUAAUACAUAUAAUUGCUAUAAAAUAUGACAGCAAAAAUGACAAUAGAUGUCAAUAGAUCGGUGGACUGUAUUGAAGAGGUUGGAGCUAGGAUCGAGUCCAUGCAUAAAAAUCUUGGAAAGCUUCUUAGAGAGAUUAGUUUUUCUAGAAGGACCUAGAAAAAGAAUAACCAGCAAGUGGGUGGAAAAGUAUUCUGUUAGAGAGUAAAAAUGGGGUGAAAAAUCAGUUACAAGUAGCUUAUAAAUAAGGAAGAGUUGGAGGAGAAUAGAAUGCAAAUUAGUGAGUGAAAACUAUAUUGUGGAUAGUACAGCCCUCUCAAAAGGCUGAUUGUAUUCCCGUUCUAUUUUCUGUAAUUCAAUUUCAAUCAAUACAUAUCAUAAUUUUUGUUCAUGUCUUGUGUUUUCAUUAAUCACAGAUAGAUUUUACUAUUAACCUAGGGUGGAACCUAUCAAAGUGAAGUCAAAGCAGUCGAGACCUAGGAAAAUGACUCUCAACGAUCCAGUAUAGUCCUUGGAAGGGAGAAUUGACUGCCUUCAAUUCGAGUUAGGUGCAAUGAAAAUUGAAUUUUAGAACGCAAUGUCUAGAGUAAAGGAAAGGAUCGAUUUGAUGAUGAGGAAAAUGGAUGGGCAGGAAAGAAAGAGGAAGGAAAAAGAGAUGGCAGAGAACUCACCUGAGCCGGUGAUUUCUGAAGCUCCUUUGCCGAUGUAUCUGAAUGGAAACACUAGGAAACUGAAAACCUCACCCAAAG
This 5229-nucleotide long non-coding RNA is filed under the name Olea europaea subsp. europaea. The record is from RNAcentral. Lineage: Eukaryota; Viridiplantae; Streptophyta; Magnoliopsida; Lamiales; Oleaceae.